GAGACUACGUCCACGGUGGGGGAUCGAUCGCGAGCGAUCGGCUGGUAAUCGCGCCUCGUCGUCGUCGCGCGACGCUUUUUCCGAAUCGUCGUCGCGCCGGGAGUGUUAAUUACGACACAGCAAGAACCCUCGUCGUCACGAAACGCGGCGAAAAACAGUAAGCUUUCGUAACGAUUUCCUUCUCUCUCGUAAUUCCUUCCUCCUUUUCAGUCGCCGUUCGUCGUUCGAUUUUCCACACGUUUCUCAAUCAGUCCAGCCUGCUUCCGUUUACGUAAUCAUACCCGUCACCCGGUGAUACCGGAGACGAACGGAGAGAUAUCGCACGUGCGGGCAUCGAAAUCUCUCAGAGUCGAGUCUCCGACAUGGAUCGAGCGCGCGUUCGCGCGAUUCUCAUCUUUACGUCCCACUGCGUUUUCUACAAAGCAAGAGAGAGAGAGUAUACCACAUCACGGCGAUAUCGUGAAGGCGAGUGGGAAUUACCGUGGGAAGAAGGCUGUAAAAAGUACGGACCAGACGAAGACGACAAAAAAAAAAAA
This is a long non-coding RNA of Camponotus floridanus (Florida carpenter ant), 536 nucleotides long. RefSeq lists it as uncharacterized. The transcript is spliced from 2 exons. NCBI's taxonomy places the organism in Eukaryota, Metazoa, Arthropoda, Insecta, Hymenoptera, Formicidae. The record is from RefSeq and is a predicted model, not a curated record.